Molecule: long non-coding RNA, 862 nt
Filed under: Panax ginseng (ginseng)
Lineage: Eukaryota; Viridiplantae; Streptophyta; Magnoliopsida; Apiales; Araliaceae
Description: long non-coding RNA (PGIN_LNC006775)
Source: RNAcentral
UAACUCCGAUUAAUGAUCCGUCAAUUUUUUUGGAUUCAUAUCUUUUCGAACUAUAGUUUUCAUAUAUCACAAUCCAUAUUUGGAUAUGUUUAGCUCCCGGAAUUUAGCCCGGAAGUGACUGCUCCAAAACUGUCCUUUUCACAGUUUUCUUAACUUUGUGUAGUUUGGUAAAAAUCCCAUAACUUGCUCCUCCGAUAUCGGAUUUAGUCCGUUUCGGAGUCUAUUGAAAGCUUAUUGAGUGUACUAUAACAUAUCACAAGUCCAGAAUUUUUAGAGCACCCUAACAAAUCCGGAAUUUUCUGUUUAGAGCAGCAGUUCACUAAUUCAUUUAAAACAAAAAAACUGUUUUGGUUCAUCUUCUUUGUUCAAGCUUAUCAACCCUAAAGAUGGCAAGAUCUAACCAUAAAAUAGCAUAAAUCAUGUAGAUCUUCCCUCAUAUGGAUCAUAAGUUCAACACUUGGUGAAAAACAACCAUCCCAAAACACAUAAACUAACUAGAGUUUUGAGUUUAGGAAAUAUUAUACCUUUGAUUCCAACCAAAAUCAACACCCAAUAUUGUUAGAUCUAAACAUGAAACACUUAUAUAUACAUAGAUCUAAGGUUUUAAACCUCAAGAUCACAACUUCAAGUUGACAAAAAUCAAAUCAAACUACCUAGGAAAUUAGCUUACACAAGUAAAUUUUUUUUUUUUUUUAUACCUUAGCUUGAUUUCCUUUCUCCUCCUUCUUUCUUCCUUCCAUGGAUGGAUCUUGGUUUCAUGAGAGCCAAAAUCUCCCCUCCCUCUUCACCAUGAAGUGGCCGAACUCCUCUCUCUCUCUCCCUCUCUCUCUUUUCCUCUUAGCAACUUGGAUGGAUAAAAGAG